RNAcentral lists this ribosomal RNA (406 nucleotides) under uncultured bacterium. RNAcentral describes it as "partial 16S ribosomal RNA". It matches the Rfam family "Bacterial small subunit ribosomal RNA", at positions 30 to 526 of the family's 1533-position model. The record is from RNAcentral.
AUUGAACGCUGGCGGCAGGCCUAACACAUGCAAGUCGAACGAGUGGCGGACUGGUGAGUGAUGUCUGGGAAACUGCCUGAUGGAGGGGGAUAACUACUGGAAACGGUAGCUAAUACCGCAUACCAUCGGAUGUGCCCAGAUGGGAUUAGCUAGUAGGUGGGGUAACGGCUCACCUAGGCGACGCUCCCUAGCUGGUCUGCGAGGAUGACCAGCCACACUGGAACUGAGACACGGCCCAGACUCCUACGGGAGGCAGCAGUGGGGAAUAUUGCACAAUGGGCGCAAGCCUGAUGCAGCCAUGCCGCGUGGAUGAAGAAGGCUUUCGGGUUGUAAAGUACUGUCAGCGGGGAGGCGUUACCCGCAGAAGAAGCACCGGCUAACUCCGUGCCAGCAGCCGCGGUAAUUC